GUGCCAGCAGCCGCGGUAAUACGGGAGUGGCAAGCGUUAUCCGGAAUUAUUGGGCGUAAAGCGUCCGCAGGCGGCCUCGUAAGUCUGUCGUUAAAGCGUGGAGCUUAACUCCAUUUCAGCGAUGGAAACUGUGAGGCUAGAGUGUGGUAGGGGCAGAGGGAAUUCCCGGUGUAGCGGUGAAAUGCGUAGAUAUCGGGAAGAACACCAGUGGCGAAGGCGCUCUGCUGGGCCAUAACUGACGCUCAUGGACGAAAGCCAGGGGAGCGAAAGGGAUUAGAUACCCCUGUAGUCCUGGCCGUAAACGAUGAACACUAGGUGUCGGGGGAAUCGACCCCCUCGGUGUCGUAGCCAACGCGUUAAGUGUUCCGCCUGGGGAGUACGCACGCAAGUGUGAAACUCAAAGGAAUUGACGGGGGCCCGCACAAGCGGUGGAGUAUGUGGUUUAAUUCGAUGCAACGCGCAGAACCUUACC
This 472-nucleotide ribosomal RNA is filed under the name uncultured cyanobacterium. Its description in RNAcentral is "bacterial SSU rRNA". It matches the Rfam family "Bacterial small subunit ribosomal RNA", at positions 505 to 975 of the family's 1533-position model. Lineage: Bacteria; Bacillati; Cyanobacteriota. The record is from RNAcentral.